This 253-nucleotide ribosomal RNA is filed under the name uncultured bacterium. RNAcentral describes it as "partial 16S ribosomal RNA". It matches the Rfam family "Bacterial small subunit ribosomal RNA", at positions 524 to 776 of the family's 1533-position model. The record is from RNAcentral.
UACGAAGGGGGCUAGCGUUGCUCGGAAUCACUGGGCGUAAAGCGCACGUAGGCGGCCUCUUAAGUCGGUGGUGAAAUCCUGGAGCUCAACUCCAGAACUGCCUUCGAUACUGAGAGUCUCGAGUCCGAGAGAGGUGAGUGGAACUGCGAGUGUAGAGGUGAAAUUCGUAGAUAUUCGCAAGAACACCAGUGGCGAAGGCGGCUCACUGGCUCGGUACUGACGCUGAGGUGCGAAAGCGUGGGGAGCAAACAGG